CCUGGCCAGCCGUCCACCACCACCUUCACCCGGCAGCCAUCCACCACCACCUUCACCCGGCAGCCGCUGCAGCGGAACAAUGGGAGGAUCACAGGCUACGUGAUAUUCCUCACCACGGACCAAACUGUCGGUGACUGGGUGAUGGGGGAAGUGACGGGGGACUGGCUCACCCUCACCGUCCAUGGACUGACGCCUUCAAGGAAGUAUUUGCACAAGAUGCACUCUCACAAUGUCAAAGGUUUUGGUCCAUUCUCCUCCGUGGAAAGCUUCACGACUUCCAGCUGUUGACAAGAGCAUCGGUGAGCCCCUGGCUGGUGUGUGGAGCGAGAGGCCUGAUUGUGCUGGUGAUCGCUGGCGUGGCAGGAGCCAUGACCAGCUGGGGGCCUUCUUGGCCACCACACUGUACUGCCGCGGGUCAAGGCGGAGCCCAGGCCAAGCAUUGUUGUUGGCGGCAGCUGCAGUGAGAGCAACAAGCCUGGCGUCCAGCCUCCAGACCUGUGGAUCCAUCACGGCCACUUGGAGCUGAAGAACUUUGACAAGGGUGAGCGCAGCAACUCCCCCAACCACGCCUCCAUCAUCCAGCACACAGCUGAAGAUCAACAACAAGGAGAUGACGGCGCUAGACCAGAUGCUUGGGGCACUCCUGGAGGCUCUGCAGGACAAGGCCAAGGAAACAAAGAGUGGCCAGGCUGUGGGACCGAGGCACAGAGAGCCAAGACGGCCGAGGGUUUAUCAAGACUGACAACAACGUGACGGUCAAAGUGUUAGAGGUAAGAAUCUUACGUGAUGAAACAUUGUGGAAGCCUUGCCAGAGUAUAUGGUCCCACAACAUGUCCUGUAGCUUCUGAAUGAGUGCCUUCAAGCUCUGGUGCUGCUUCCCUUCCUUUGUUAUGAGUGUUUCCAUACUUACUGCUCAAG
This is a long non-coding RNA of Eriocheir sinensis (Chinese mitten crab), 918 nucleotides long. RefSeq lists it as uncharacterized. The record is from RefSeq and is a predicted model, not a curated record. Lineage: Eukaryota; Metazoa; Arthropoda; Malacostraca; Decapoda; Varunidae. The transcript is spliced from 5 exons.